AUUGAACGCUGGCGGCAUGCCUUACACAUGCAAGUCGAACGGCAGCACGGGAGCAAUCCUGGUGGCGAGUGGCGAACGGGUGAGUAAUAUAUCGGAACGUGCCCAGUCGUGGGGGAUGACGCAGCGAAAGCUGUGCUAAUACCGCAUACGAUCUACGGAUGAAAGCGGGGGAUCGCAAGACCUCGCGCGAUUGGAGCGGCCGAUAUCAGAUUAGCUAGUUGGUGAGGUAAAGGCUCACCAAGGCGACGAUCUGUAGCUGGUCUGAGAGGACGACCAGCCACACUGGAACUGAGACACGGUCCAGACUCCUACGGGAGGCAGCAGUGGGGAAUUUUGGACAAUGGGCGAAAGCCUGAUCCAGCAAUGCCGCGUGCAGGAUGAAGGCCUUCGGGUUGUAAACUGCUUUUGUACGGAACGAAACGGUGAGCUCUAAUACAGUUUGCUAAUGACGGUACCGUAAGAAUAAGCACCGGCUAACUACGUGCCAGCCGCCGCCGUAA
Molecule: ribosomal RNA, 500 nt
Filed under: uncultured bacterium
Lineage: Bacteria
Description: partial 16S ribosomal RNA
Rfam family: Bacterial small subunit ribosomal RNA
Source: RNAcentral